Long non-coding RNA from Canis lupus familiaris (dog), 2093 nucleotides. RefSeq lists it as uncharacterized. The transcript has 2 exons. Lineage: Eukaryota; Metazoa; Chordata; Mammalia; Carnivora; Canidae. The record is from RefSeq and is a predicted model, not a curated record.
CUUCCUGCACGGAGCCUGUUUCUCCCUCUGCCUGUGUCUCUGCCUCUCUCUGUGUCUCUCAUGAAUAAAUAAAUAAAAUCUUUAAAAAAAUAAAAAUAAAAAGAAGAAAUUCAUAUUGAAGUAGUUUCAUUAUUUGAUUUGUUUGGCAUUAUAGGAAUCAAGCUGGUGCUAAGUCUUUUUAAAUGGUUAUGUAAGCAAGCUGAACUGUAAAUCUUCCUUCAGGAAUGUGUAUUAAGAUUAUGGAAUAGGUGAAAGACUAUUGAUAGGGGAGAAAGUGGGUAUGACUAAAUGGAUCUUUAUGGCCGUAUGAUCUAUCUUUUCCUUGAAAGUUUCUGAAGAAAAGUGGAAAGAUCAUUCUGUUGCGCUCCUCCAUUCUUGUUUUUAAAAGAUCAACUCCCAAGCCCUACAAAUGGCUUGUACUGAACUUUCACAUUUGAUUUAAAGAUUGUUAAACAUUAAAAAAAAAAAAGAAGUGGACAUCAGACCUCGAUAGUCCUGCAAGUAAUCCUCCAACCUAUUCCUGUGAGCCUAUAGAAGACUUUCGUUUACUAGUCAAAAAACAAGGCAAGUAAAUCUAAGCCAUGGUUUUGGGGUUACUUUUAUUAUGCAAUAAUAUACAUAUAAGCGCUAUGACGGAAUGUUCUAUUUUAACAUCCCAGGUCAUUAAUAUAACUGUGGGAGGACCCUUAACUUCCAAUUCUGGUUCAACUGUUCUUUGCCUGUUGGCCCCAUAAUGUAGAAAAAGGAAAAUACUGUUAUUUAUGAACAGAAAACAGCCGACACUUCCAGUUUCACCAACUUAACAGAUCAAUUCCACAAACAAAAUAAAAAUUAUACCAUACAACUGGUUACGAGUACUUAAUAGAUGCAAGAAAUACACCUGUGUAAAAAUACAAAAAGGAUCUCACGAUAUUGAUUACAAAAUUCCUUUCCCACUGAGGUCACUAUAAACCCAAACCCCAUGAGACUAUUGACUGCAUCCAAGUUUUAGAUACAUAUGGCUCUCAAUGUCAUGAGGCAAUCUCAGUUUUGUGUUGCUAACAGUAACUCCCCACAAAGUUUGCUUUUCUAUAGCCUAGUGGGUGUGGGGGCCACCCAGGCAGAAAUUUAACGACUCAACAAUCUUGCUCAGCUUCAAGCUUCUCUACAGUACAGGCCCCGUCUAAAACAUAUAGUCCCAGUCAAUUGCAUAUGCAUAGCCUGCAAUAAGCCUACUACCCAGUGCAGCUUUACCUUACAACUCCUGUUGCCAACUAGAGACUUAUACCUACCAAGAGGAUGGGCCUUACUUUGUGCCAGUAUGGCCCAUUAUAUCAUUCCUAAAUGAUUCUCGGGGUUAUAUACUGUAGGCAAACUAGGAUUAUUGUUCUUCUCACCACCAGCAACCCGUUAUCAACAACAACUGCCUCAUUUACCCUCCAAUUGCAAUGAUAAUGUGGUUCUCAUAUCAGAUGGGGAAACAGCAGCCUUAGCCCUCUCCCUCGUGGCUCUCCCAGCACUAGGAAAGGUCUUACAUCAUGAGAUAAAACUGUUUGCUCAACAGAACCUUAAACAAUACAUCCCAAGUCUUAGAUGCUCUAAAUCAAGAACUAAGUGAAGUUAGGGCAGGAUUUCUAGAAAAUCGGGCAACUAUUGAUUACUUACCACUUCAACAUCACUUAGGUUUUAAAGAGUUUCCACACAUGUGCUGUUUUAAUAUAACUAACAAUUAUUAUAAGAUCUCACAACUAAUAAGUGACAUUCGAGCUCAACUGGACAAAAUCAGAGUCUCUCCAGGAUUAUUUGAUUGGCCUGGAAACUGGGGUCAAUAUUUCAGAGAUGCCAUUAUACUGAUGGAACUAAUUGUUGGAUUUUGACUUUCUUUCUGUGUUUGUUGGAGCCUGUGUCUCCUCAUGCCUUCCAACAUCUCUUGGGAGCCAUACCAUGGACCUCUUGACAUACCUCUGAGAAUACCCUGACUGCCGACCCCUCACACUGUCCUUUUCCAGCCUCAAGAAGCCAGAGCAGUCAUCGUCCCACUCCCUAACAGCAGUUAAGAGAGCAUAAGGAAAAGGAGCAGCAAGCAGAGGGAGAAGCAGGCUCCCCGCUGAGCA